UUUCAAAAACUUAACCCAAACCUGACCAUCAAAUUCGAAUUCGACAUAUUAUAAAAAUUCAUAUUCAAAUUUGAACUCGAUAAAAAAUCUGAAACCCUGACUCCAAACAAUUAUUUCUAUUUAUAAUAUUUCAAAAUAUAUUAUAUUAAAUUUAAUUUUUUAAAAUAUAAAUUCAAAUAUAAUAUCAAAUGUUUAUAUAUAUAUUGUAUAAUAUAAAAUCAAUUCGGGUUCGGGUCGGAUUCGGUUCCGGUCGGGUACAGACAAAAUUCAUACUUGAAUUCCAAAUCCAUUAAGUUUUCAGUUUUUAUACCCGUAUACGAAAUUAUAUCUAUUUAGUAUCGAAUAAAUCUGAUCCAUUCGGGUUUGAAUUCGGAUAAAAUUUCAGAUAUCUAUACCCGUGAUAUUCCUAAACUCAAUUUCUCUUGAAUGUUGUGCUUGAUUUUGUAGUAAACCCAAUUACGAAAGAAAAUGAAAUAGAAAAAAAAUAAUAAAAAACGGGAUUUUCAAUAAUCAAACAUCAGCAAAAAAAUAAUUCUCACGUGAAUUUUAGUUC
RNAcentral lists this long non-coding RNA (553 nucleotides) under Ananas comosus (pineapple). RNAcentral's name for it is "long non-coding RNA (ACOM_LNC028823)". The record is from RNAcentral. Lineage: Eukaryota; Viridiplantae; Streptophyta; Magnoliopsida; Poales; Bromeliaceae.